CACAGCUUUCCUUAAAUGCUUCCAAAAGCUCUGCUUUUUCUCCAGGUUCCAACUGACUGGCAUCCAUCAGGGCGGCCCUCACUAACAGAUGAGCCUCACUAAGAAGGUGGAUGCAGCUCUGGGUCUUUGCAGUCUUGACAAUGCUGCAGAUGCUGCAGGACCCCAGGACAAUCUGCUAAUAUUUCAAAGAAGAGUGAGACAGGGAUAAAUGAUCUAAGGUUUUGCUGUGGUCAUAAACCAAUUCUAACCUUCAGGGUGGUAUCCACGUAUGGGUCUUCCUCACGAGCUGCCGCCGCACUGCACCGCACUGUGAAACACUGCAAGUUGUUGCUAAGGAAGAGGAGAGACACCACUGAGCAAAGCAGAGGCCAAUAACCAACAUGCCCGUACUUUGGAAGAUAUCACAGAGGCGAACAGAGCAACAGUGAGGCUUCUUCACAGUUCACAGUUAAAGGACAUCACUAUGCACAACACGUUGGAAAUGGAGACUAGCUACCUCCAGGAUGUUCACUUAGGAAACACACAACAGCAUUUCUCCUUACACCAGACAACGGGACGAGAAGGCAGCAACCACAAUAUGGAGAGAGACAGAGCAUGAACGGGGGAGGAGCCGAGAGAGAGGGAGACACAGAAUCGGA
Molecule: long non-coding RNA, 638 nt
Organism: Prionailurus viverrinus (fishing cat)
Lineage: Eukaryota; Metazoa; Chordata; Mammalia; Carnivora; Felidae
Exons: 5
Source: RefSeq, a predicted model, not a curated record